CUACGUGCCAGCAGCCGCGGUAAUACGUAGGGUGCGAGCGUUAAUCGGAAUUACUGGGCGUAAAGCGGGCGCAGACGGUUACUUAAGCAGGAUGUGAAAUCCCCGGGCUCAACCUGGGAACUGCGUUCUGAACUGGGUGACUAGAGUGUGUCAGAGGGAGGUAGAAUUCCAUGUGUASCAGUGAAAUGCGUAGAGAUGUGGAGGAAUACCGAUGGCGAAGGCAGCCUCCUGGGAUAACACUGACGUUCAUGCCCGAAAGCGUGGGUAGCAAACAGGAUUAGAUACCCUGGUAGUCCACGCCCUAAACGAUGUCGAUUAGCUGUUGGGCAGCUUGACUGCUUAGUAGCGAAGCUAACGCGUGAAAUCGACCGCCUGGGGAGUACGGUCGCAAGAUUAAAACUCAAAGGAAUUGACGGGGACCCGCACAAGCGGUGGAUGAUGUGGAUUAAUUCGAUGCAACGCGAAGAACCUUACCUGGUCUUGACAU
This 487-nucleotide ribosomal RNA is filed under the name uncultured bacterium. Its description in RNAcentral is "bacterial SSU rRNA". It matches the Rfam family "Bacterial small subunit ribosomal RNA", at positions 501 to 987 of the family's 1533-position model. The record is from RNAcentral.